Molecule: non-coding RNA, 845 nt
Organism: Paramuricea clavata
Lineage: Eukaryota; Metazoa; Cnidaria; Anthozoa; Malacalcyonacea; Plexauridae
Source: the annotation of a GenBank genome assembly
CAUUACCAGAAAUAUGGGACAUUUUGCUCCCGCUUUUGUAGUCAGCGGCUAAGUCCGUUUUAUAUGCCCAACAUUGCCUAAUAUAAGUCAUACGACUUCGCAUUUUACUUUGAAUCUCCAGUUCAAGUAUUAUUCAACCAAAAAGUGUGAUUUUAAACUAUAUUUUGCAGUUUUUGCUGAUCACUUCCGGUACUUUGACCUUUAACCCCGCAAAUUUUUAUCAAGACUAAAAAUAUUGCAAAUAUCCUAAAAAAUCCUAAAAUAUCCCUGUGUUUUUACGUGAGAGCCUGGGGUCUAGUUCUUCAAAAUAAACAAGAAACAUGGCUGCUCGAAACAGCUCAAAUUUGUAUUAAAACUUGUCGUUUUUGGAUAUUAAGAUGGCUUAAUGGCGACAUACAAGAACCGUAAAAAGGCGAACUUUUACACGUUUCGGGAACUAGUUUCCCUGGCAAUUACAGCGGAUUUAUUUAGCUAAAUUAACAGUUUGGACAUCAUUGAAUAUAUCGCGAGCUCCGCACUUCGCAUCGUCCGAAUGGAUGUUGGUCUAUUCGUCGGAUAUUUACCUCUUGUGUCACAAGUUUACUAUAAAUUACACUAUGAAAUUCAUCGAAUUGCGUGUAAAAAUACAACAUUCUCAGGAACCUGCUAGACGCGAUGCAAUACUAGCGAUUUUUGUUUAGAAAUAUUGCUUGUUCGUGUCGCUACUAUAAUCGAGCUCCGCACCAAUGAAAUAUUUAAACAAAGUAUACUAAAAUUUGAUAUUUUGAUCAACUCCCAUAUAGUUUAUAGUAAUAUUUGGUCGCCAUAUUUGGUCAAAGUGCGCAUGUCCGUCGCCAUCUUGUCCC